RNA transcript from Pygocentrus nattereri (red-bellied piranha), 1966 nucleotides. It is a transcript of the gene named Yip1 domain family, member 1, with no coding region annotated. The record is from RefSeq and is a predicted model, not a curated record. The transcript has 11 exons. Lineage: Eukaryota; Metazoa; Chordata; Actinopteri; Characiformes; Serrasalmidae.
GACUCUUGUUUUGAAAGGCAGAUAAUCGGCGCUGGUGCUAAACAACAAGCAUGUUGGAAAGUAAUAAAUAGUCAAAUUAACCAAUACAGACCGGAUAGAUUUGUUUGUGCUGUGUCUGGAGUGCAUCAUCGACGCGUAAAGAUGUGGAGUGUUGGAUAUUUGUACAGUAAUUCUACCUAAAACCUCUCUGAAUGGGCUGUUUUGUAGCCUAACGCUAGUUAGCUUGGUGGUUUCCGCAGACGUAGCUGCUGCUGACAGGUCGGAGAAGUUUUUAGUAAACAGAGAUUUAACCGGAGAGCUGAAGAUUAGAGGGGAACCCUCAUUCAAACUGCUGAUGGCCAACACAGACUUCCAUCUGCAGUUUCAAGAUUUUGGAGAUGAUGCAGACUUAAUGGCCGGUAGUACCGGAACUACUAGAAUCACCAUUGAUGACCACACCACCAAACCCCAAAAGCAGCGAAGGGUUGCGGGAGUUGCGGAGGAGGACGAGACUGAUCCACUGGAGAGUGAUGACACAGAUAAGCUUCUUUCUGGUCAAAAGAAAAACGCUCCCUUCUGGACAUUUGAGUACUAUCAGACAUUUUUUGAUGUGGACACUAGCCAGGUGAAGGACAGAAUCAUUGGCUCAGUUGUGCCGUGGCCCGGGAAAAACUUUGUUCGCUUCUAUAUCAGAAACAACCCUGACCUCUACGGACCUUUCUGGAUCUGUGCUACGCUCGUUUUCGCCGUCGCCGUCAGUGGAAACAUCUGCAGCUUCCUGGUGAACUACGGUCAGCCUCAGUACAAAUACGUACCCGAGUUCAGGAAAGUAACCAUCGCAGCCACAGCGAUCUUCAGCUACGCCUGGUUUGUUCCACUGGCUGUGUGGGGGUUCCUGAUGUGGAGGAACAGUAAAAUCUCCCAAACAGUGUCCUACUCUUUCCUGGAGAUUGUGUGUGUGUACGGUUACUCGCUCUCCAUCUACAUUCCGGCUGUGGUUUUGUGGAUCAUACCGAGUGAACCGCUGAGAUGGUGCUCCAUCAUUUUGGCUCUUUGCCUGUCUGGAUCUGUGCUGAUUCUGACGUUUUGGCCAGCAAUCCGGGACGACCACCCACGCGUCGUUAUAGCGGUCACUUCAACCAUUGCAGUGCUUCACGUUUUGCUUGCUGUUGGUUGCAAGGCAUAUUUUUUCAGCACCUAUGAGACAACUGAAAAUGCUUCAGGACCAGCCAGUGUUACUAAGGGCUUUUUAACCACCAAGGCACACUGAGCUCCGGCUUUAGGCCUCUUUUUAAAACAUUGGGCCCUCCCCCAACUGCACCAGCCAGGCAUCUGAUUGGUUCUCACAUGACUGGUUCCAGGGCAGUUGCAGGAUCUCUUCUUGCCUCAUUGGUCAGAAUCAAGUUUCCUGCUCAUGAGGUCACAGCUCGUCUGGAUUUCACCAGAUUAGCGGCCCGUGUGCUCAGCUGUGAGUUUAUCACUGGCACCGCUGUGGUUCCUACGUGGCAUCUUUGUCCAUCUGACCUGUGGAAUGUAGAAUAUGCUUCUGAUCUGCUCUUAAAAAUAAAUUGUAAGUGUACUGUUAUGGGCUAGAGUCUGGUAAGGGAUAUAGAACACUGUAUAUAGCGGGGUUUGAAAUAUUUAUGUUAUAAUUGAACCUGAGAUGUCCACCAAAAGGGCCAUUCUUCUGUUUCAGCCAUUUGUGACCUGUACAUACAUUGAAGGACUUUGUGACUCUGUUGGCCAACUUGUAGCACUUGGCACGUGUUUAGUGUGAGGGUAACUGUCUGAGUGCCAAAGUUCACAUUUUAAACUUUUAGUAUAGUCACACUAAUGUGAGUUCUGUAUCAUAGUUCUUUGUUUUGGGAGAGCGAUCGAGCUUAACGAUAUGUGCCUUUACUGAAGACGCAUGUACAUACUAACAAAAAUGGUAAUUAAAGGUUUUAAAGGUUUUCUCUACUUUCCAAUAAACAAUUACGACAUUGUA